Molecule: transfer RNA, 59 nt
Filed under: Paraburkholderia sp. SG-MS1
Lineage: Bacteria; Pseudomonadati; Pseudomonadota; Betaproteobacteria; Burkholderiales; Burkholderiaceae
Description: tRNA-Gly
Rfam family: tRNA
About the family: Transfer RNA (tRNA) molecules are approximately 80 nucleotides in length.
Source: RNAcentral
GGAGUAGCUCAGUUGGUAGAGCGCAACCUUGCCAAGGUUGAGGUCGCGAGUUCGAGCCU